RNAcentral lists this long non-coding RNA (219 nucleotides) under Zostera marina. RNAcentral describes it as "long non-coding RNA (ZMAR_LNC001478)". Lineage: Eukaryota; Viridiplantae; Streptophyta; Magnoliopsida; Alismatales; Zosteraceae. The record is from RNAcentral.
UUUAUUUUGCAGUUUAAGAAAAUUGAUAUUAAUCCUUCCAUGAUUGAACAUAUAAAAUUCAACCAAUUAAAAUAACUUAGGCUUUGUGUGAAUUUGGGCUGCUCCAAAGAAACUUCCAUUGUCUGUUGCAUCCUCAAAAACUGUCCAUCAUUGAGAUAUCUUCGAAUACAUGUAAUUAAUCUCUAUUUCAUUUAACAUUUUACUUUUUUAUAUUCAAUU